CCCAAAAUUGUUUGGCUCACUCAUGCAAUCCAAGGUUGGAAAUGUUCGUGAAGACUGGCCAAAGAUAUCUUCCCAUAACCAUAUGCUCUGAGCUCACGUAGAAGACCUUACAACUUGGACAACUUGGACGUAUUGAAAUUGUAGAUGCUAAGCUAUGAUGCAAGCCAUCAUGUGUAAUCAGUGAAUCGAACACAUUACCAUGUACUUUGAUCAUCAGAUUUUAUAAUAUAAAUGUGCACAUUCCUUUUGCUUUA
Molecule: long non-coding RNA, 254 nt
Organism: Triticum dicoccoides
Lineage: Eukaryota; Viridiplantae; Streptophyta; Magnoliopsida; Poales; Poaceae
Exons: 2
Source: RefSeq, a predicted model, not a curated record